GCAGACGCACAGGACUUAAAAUCCUGCGGUAGGUGACUACCGUACCGGUUCGAUUCCGGUCCUCGGCA
This is a transfer RNA of 68 nucleotides. It matches the Rfam family "tRNA", at positions 18 to 71 of the family's 71-position model. Rfam says of the family: Transfer RNA (tRNA) molecules are approximately 80 nucleotides in length. Their secondary structure includes four short double-helical elements and three loops (D, anti-codon, and T loops). The record is from Rfam.